AGCCUUCUGUAUCCGUGCUGAGAUUUCGUUACACACCAGACCACAAGGGCUGAUGAGACUUCCCAGAAAAAAACAGAU
This is a non-coding RNA of Schistosoma haematobium, 78 nucleotides long. The record is from Rfam. Lineage: Eukaryota; Metazoa; Platyhelminthes; Trematoda; Strigeidida; Schistosomatidae.